This 460-nucleotide ribosomal RNA is filed under the name uncultured bacterium. RNAcentral describes it as "partial 16S ribosomal RNA". It matches the Rfam family "Bacterial small subunit ribosomal RNA", at positions 338 to 795 of the family's 1533-position model. The record is from RNAcentral.
CCUACGGGAGGCAGCAGUGAGGAAUAUUGGUCAAUGGACGCAAGUCUGAACCAGCCAUGCCGCGUGCAGGAUGACGGCUCUCUGAGUUGUAAACUGCUUUUGUACGAGGGUAAACCCCGAUACGUGUAUCGGGUUGACAGUAUCGUACGAAUAAGGAUCGGCUAACUACGUGCCAGCAGCCGCGGUAAUACGGAGGAUCCGAGCGUUAUCCGGAUUUCUUGGGUUUAAAGGGUGCGUAGGCGGUUUGAUAAGUUAGAGGUGAAAGGUCGGGGCUCAACCCCGAAACUGCCGCUAAUACUGUUGGACUAGAGAAUAGUUGCGGUAGGCGGAAUGUAGGGUGUAGCGGUGAAAUGCUUAGAGAUCAUACAGAACACCGAUUGCGAAGGCAGCUUACCAAACUAUAUCUGACGUUGAGGCACGAAAGCGUGGGUAGCAAACAGGAUUAGAUACCCCUGUAGUC